RNAcentral lists this ribosomal RNA (424 nucleotides) under uncultured bacterium. RNAcentral's name for it is "partial 16S ribosomal RNA". It matches the Rfam family "Bacterial small subunit ribosomal RNA", at positions 360 to 776 of the family's 1533-position model. The record is from RNAcentral.
AAUUUUUGACAAAGGGGGAAACCCUGAUCCAGCCAUCCCGCGUGUAUGAUGAAGGCCUUCGGGUUGUAAAGUACUCUUUGCAGAGAGGAAAAGGCAUCCCCUAAUACGGGAUGCUGCUGACGGUAUCUGCAGAGUAAGCACCGGCUAACUACCUGCCAGCAGCCGCGGUAAUACGUAGGGUGCAAGCGUUAAUCGGAAUUAUUGGGCGUAAAGCGUGUGUAGGCGGUUCGGAAAGAAAGAUGUGAAAUCCCAGGGCUCAACCUUGGAACUGCAUUUUUAACUGACGAGCUAGAGUAUGUCAGAGGGGGGUAGAAUUCCACGUGUAGCAGUGAGAUGCGUAGAUAUGUGGAAGAAUGCCGAUGGCGAAGGCAGCCCCCUGGGAUAAUACUGACGCUCAGACACGAAAGCGUGGGGAGCAAACAGG